Molecule: ribosomal RNA, 1242 nt
Filed under: metagenome
Description: bacterial LSU rRNA
Rfam family: Bacterial large subunit ribosomal RNA
Source: RNAcentral
CCUAGGAACUCGGCAAAUUGCCCCCGUAACUUCGGGAGAAGGGGGGCCAUGCCCGGUGAUCCACCUUGCGUGGUGAGCGGGGUGUGGCCGCAGAUACCAGGGGGAAGCGACUGUUUACUAAAAACACAGGUCCGUGCGAAGUCGUAAGACGCUGUAUACGGACUGACGCCUGCCCGGUGCCGGAACGUUAAGAGGACCGGUCAACCCUCACGGGUGAAGCUGAGAAUCUAAGCGCCGGUAAACGGCGGUGGUAACUAUAACCAUCCUAAGGUAGCGAAAUUCCUUGUCGGGUAAGUUCCGACCUGCACGAAUGGCGUAACGACUUCCCCACUGUCUCAACCACAGACCCGGCGAAAUUGCAGUACGAGUAAAGAUGCUCGUUUCGCGCAGCAGGACGGAAAGACCCCGGGACCUUCACUACAGCUUGGCAUUGGCGUUUGGAGCGUCUUGUGUAGGAUAGGUGGGAGACUGUGAAGCUCACACGCCAGUGUGGGUGGAGUCAUUGGUGAAAUACCACUCUGGUCGUUUCGAGCGUCUAACCCGCACCCGUGAAUCCGGGUGGGGGACAGUGCCUGGUGGGUAGUUUAACUGGGGCGGUUGCCUCCUAAAAGGUAACGGAGGCGCCCAAAGGUUCCCUCAGCCUGGUUGGUAAUCAGGUGGCGAGUGCAAGGGCACAAGGGAGCUUGACUGUGAGACGGACAUGUCGAGCAGGUGCGAAAGCAGGGCCUAGUGAUCCGGCGGUGGCAUGUGGAAGCGCCGUCGCUCAACGGCUAAAAGGUACCCCGGGGAUAACAGGCUGAUCUUCCCCAAGAGUCCAUAUCGACGGGAUGGUUUGGCACCUCGAUGUCGGCUCGUCGCAUCCUGGGGCUGGAGUAGGUCCCAAGGGUUGGGCUGUUCGCCCAUUAAAGCGGCACGCGAGCUGGGUUUAGAACGUCGCGAGACAGUUCGGUCCCUAUCCGCUGCGCGCGCAGGAGAUUUGAGAGGGUCUGUCCCUAGUACGAGAGGACCGGGACGGACGAACCUCUGGUGUGCCAGUUGUCAUGCCAAUGGCACGGCUGGUUGGCUACGUUCGGACGGGAUAACCGCUGAAAGCAUCUAAGCGGGAAGCCUUCCUCGAGAUGAGAUCUCCCACCCCCAUGAGGGGUGUAAGGCCCCCAGCUAGACCACUGGGUUGAUAGGCCAGAAAUGGAAGCACCGUAAGGUGUGGAGUUGACUGGUACUAAUAGGCCGAGCGGCUUGAGA